GACGAACGCUGGCGGCGUGCUUAACACAUGCAAGUCGAGCGGUAAGGCCCUUUCGGGGUACGACGAGCGGCGAACGGGUGAGUAACACGUGGGUGACCUGCCCUCCAGCUCUGGGAGUAAGCCUGGGAAACGUGGGUCGUAAUACCGGAUAUGACUCCAUGACGCAUGUUGUGGGGUGGAAAGCCUUGUGCGGCUGAGGAU
RNAcentral lists this ribosomal RNA (201 nucleotides) under uncultured bacterium. Its description in RNAcentral is "partial 16S ribosomal RNA". It matches the Rfam family "Bacterial small subunit ribosomal RNA", at positions 28 to 226 of the family's 1533-position model. The record is from RNAcentral.